UACAGGGGGUGCAAACGUUGCUCGGAAUUAUUGGGCGUAAAGCGCGCGUAGGCGGCCACUUAAGUCGGAUGUGAAAGCCCCUGGCUCAACUGGGGAAGUGCACCCGAAACUGAAUGGCUUGAAUGCAAAAGAGGGUCGCGGAAUUCCCGGUGUAGAGGUGAAAUUCGUAGAUAUCGGGAGGAACACCGGUGGCGAAGGCGGCAUCCUGGACCAUAACUGACACUGAUAAGCGAAAGCCAGGGGAGCAAACGGG
RNAcentral lists this ribosomal RNA (253 nucleotides) under uncultured bacterium. RNAcentral's name for it is "partial 16S ribosomal RNA". It matches the Rfam family "Bacterial small subunit ribosomal RNA", at positions 524 to 776 of the family's 1533-position model. The record is from RNAcentral.